This 465-nucleotide ribosomal RNA is filed under the name Vreelandella stevensii. RNAcentral describes it as "partial 16S ribosomal RNA". It matches the Rfam family "Bacterial small subunit ribosomal RNA", at positions 338 to 795 of the family's 1533-position model. The record is from RNAcentral. Lineage: Bacteria; Pseudomonadati; Pseudomonadota; Gammaproteobacteria; Oceanospirillales; Halomonadaceae.
CCUACGGGCGGCAGCAGUGGGGAAUAUUGGACAAUGGGGGGAACCCUGAUCCAGCCAUGCCGCGUGUGUGAAGAAGGCCCUCGGGUUGUAAAGCACUUUCAGUGAGGAAGAACGCCUGGUGGUUAAUACCCAUCAGGAAAGACAUCACUCACAGAAGAAGCACCGGCUAACUCCGUGCCAGCAGCCGCGGUAAUACGGAGGGUGCGAGCGUUAAUCGGAAUUACUGGGCGUAAAGCGCGCGUAGGUGGCUUGAUAAGCCGGUUGUGAAAGCCCCGGGCUCAACCUGGGAACGGCAUCCGGAACUGUCAAGCUAGAGUGCAGGAGAGGAAGGUAGAAUUCCCGGUGUAGCGGUGAAAUGCGUAGAGAUCGGGAGGAAUACCAGUGGCGAAGGCGGCCUUCUGGACUGACACUGAAACUGAGGUGCGAAAGCGUGGGUAGCAAACAGGAUUCGAUACCCGAGUAGUC